Molecule: non-coding RNA, 940 nt
Organism: Arachis ipaensis
Lineage: Eukaryota; Viridiplantae; Streptophyta; Magnoliopsida; Fabales; Fabaceae
Source: RefSeq, a predicted model, not a curated record
AGAUAACUGGAGCGUGAAGGCCAUCCGUAGAAAGACCACCGGCACUGGCAGGAUGAGGUACCUCCGUCACGUUCCUUGCCGAUUCAAGAGCGGCUUCAGAGAAGGUACUGAAGCUGCACCAAGGAAGAAGGGAGCAGCUGCAUCUGGAGAAACUGUACAUGGGAAUCGUCAUCAUCUUGGUCAAGCUCUUCUGGAAGAAACCAGAGUAGCGUUACAAGUAUGAACCCAUCCAGGAUGAUCUUGAACUUGGAAGCUCCAAUUUCCCUGUGGUUCUCAUCUAGAUUCCAAUGUUCAAUGAGAAAGAGAGUCUGAAAUCAAGGGGUAUUCGAUUCCCUGGCCGUGACAACGGGAGCUUGGCACCUAUUUUCACUCCUCUGCGUUUGGUGUCUGAGGCUGAACUUGAUCUUCCACACCAGACUCAGCAUGAUGAUAUUCCUGUGCAGAGUUUUACACCUGAACAAACUAAGGAAGCUUUUGAUGUUGCUAGAAACAGCAUUGAGCUUCUUUCUACUAUGUUGUCUUCUUCUCCACAAUAAGAUGUCUUGCAGUUGUGCAAGAUUGAUUCGGAAGGAAAAAGCUAGGAAGGUAACUGGUUGCUCCUGCAUAGUUGUGAAGGUAAGAAGAAUGGGAAGUAAAGAAACUGCAUUGAUAGUCAUGCAUGAAGAAUAUAAAAUCCUCAAGUGCUACAAAAAUGAUAGAAGUUCUUCCCAGAGGGCCAUCUACUUUCUCUAAAGCACAAUGCUGUGAGCUACAAGAUUCAGCAUCAUGACUUUUUGCCUAUAAACCGAGAAACUCAACAAUAUUAUGUUUGGAUUAUUGAUAUUUAUUUCUUAAUUUCUUUAUUUCUACACAAAAAAUGACAAAGAGAUAGAAUAAGUUAAUGACUUUUAAUAAGUUUUAUAUGUAUUGAUAUUUUUAUCCCAAUGUAUUUUAUAACUAC